AUACAGAAUAUUUUUUUAAAUGUAAAUCAUCAUACAACAAUAUCAUGCUUAACUGCCAUGCUAUAAAAUAAUUGUCAUGAUAUAAAAUAUACUAUAUUUUUAAAAUGUAAAUCAUAAAAUAAUUGUUUAAUUGUCAUGCAAAUAGUUAUGGCACUGCAGUAAAUAAUUUUUUUUUUAAUUUAUUUGAAGUAAAAUAUUAGACAGAUAUUUUCUUGACUCUUCAGCUUUAUGAGAUUCAUCUCCUUAAAAUCAAAUGUCACAGUGAUCAGUUUCCCUCACUGGAGUUUCAAGUUCAACAUGGAUGUUAUUGUGCAUGAAAAUUAUAUACAGAGAGAGCAAGCGAUAUUAUAUUAUAUUAUAUUAGCAUUCCAUGCGGCUGAAAUUCUUCUCAAUCAGGGGAAACUGAUUACUGGUUGUAUUUCAAUCAGAGAGACACAAUCAGUUUCGAAUUUUUCUUUUCGAAGCAAACAGCCUGAAACCAAAGACUGUGGUCGCCGUUGCACCGAGCAGUAAUGUAGAUUCUUUUGCAUGUGUUUUGUCAUUUUCAAAGCUUUAUUCCUGAGUAGAAUUGAUUUCUGCUUACCGAAAGGACAUCAGGAAACCAAAAACAGUGUUGCACGGUCAAUCGUUUAUGACUUUUAAGCAAACCAAAGAGGAUGGAUUUCAGCGUUUUGUUUCCUUUCAUAACUUUUCUCACUGGAGGAGAAUUAUUGUAUUGUGUUUUGUUCGUUUUUUCGACAGGGGAUAAAUUAUUUACCCUGGAUUUUGUGAAAGUACUGACUAAAUAUUUGGUUUCACUUUCCUGCUGAAGAAAAGGUCUUCGCUGGUCUUGCAGUCUUUUCAAAGAUCUAGUUAAAAAGUCUUCAGGCCGAGACCAGCUUGGGCUUGUUUUCAGCAAGGUUUGAGGGCAGGAUUGAUGUUUUUGAUAUACAUUUCAAUAUGCUUUAGUGUUUUAGAACAAUAUUGAUUGUUGUGUUAAAUUGUUAACUUCACAUGGGGUUUUUCUUUGUGUGUGCAAGUGUAAUGCCAUGCAGUUUUUUCAGAUUUCUUUGCGAAUUAGAAACGCAACAUCAUAAAACAUGUCAAAUGUUCAGCAUCUGCGUGUGCUGAAGACCUCUGUUAGGGAAAAACUCAGGUUGCUGGUCAUUUUUACCCAUCCACCUUAAAUAGGUGAUUGUGCUCAGGAAAUAAUAUCAGUAUAGUUUCAUGUCACUUUAUUCAUUGCUUAAACUGUCUUGAUUUUCAAUUGAAUUCUUUGCUAUUAUUCUUCUGUUGAAGUAGUUUGUUCUGAAUUGGUCUGAACUGAAGGGAAGAAGGAGAUCUUUGUAAACUCCUCAAGCAGUGAUGGUUUGGUUUCCAUCACACUGCGGCAGUAAAUGUAUCUAUAAGCCUUAAAAACGGAAUGUAUUUCUUAAUAAAUAAAAUUCCACUUGUCAAUAUUCCAAAUACAUGUACCAUGUGUUUACUGAAGUUUUUUUUCUGUUCAGCAAUAUGGUGUAAUGUUUAUGCCAAAAAGUAUACAUUUACAAAAGUUACCCCCACCACAAAUAAGAUUGUUUAUUUAGAAUGAUAAAAAUGUUGACUUUUUUCAUGUGUUUUCGUGUAUUUAUAU
Molecule: long non-coding RNA, 1612 nt
Organism: Cyprinus carpio carpio
Lineage: Eukaryota; Metazoa; Chordata; Actinopteri; Cypriniformes; Cyprinidae
Source: Ensembl